This 366-nucleotide ribosomal RNA is filed under the name Triticum aestivum (bread wheat). RNAcentral describes it as "partial small subunit ribosomal RNA". Lineage: Eukaryota; Viridiplantae; Streptophyta; Magnoliopsida; Poales; Poaceae. The record is from RNAcentral.
AUGUCCCGGCAGGAAAAACAAAAUGCAACUCUCCAUGACGAUGUUUCGCUUGGUAAUAUUACUAAAUACGAUGGUGGUAUGCUAAACACGGAGGAUGAUGAUGAUAAUGAUUCGAUGCACACUAAUCUGAAUUACCAACGAGCUAAUCUGAAUUGCCAGCAAGGUACAGUGCACGUUCAACAUAUACAUGACAUGCAAGGACAAGAAAGAUUUCUGCCCAGAAGUUUUAUAUCUGGACAGUCCAGUGAAAUGAAAGAUGCAUCUUCUGAGAAAAAACGACGACGUAUGAGGGAACAAUAUGCAAACAUGCCAACGCAUGACAAAGAGGUUGUGUUGUGUUGUAAUCGUGCAUAUAAGAUAGCAUGA